CGUGAGAUGUUGGGUUAAGUCCCGCAACGAGCGCAACCCUUGCCAUUAAUUGCCAUCAUUAAGUUGGGCACUUUAAUGGGACUGCCGGUGACAAACCGGAGGAAGGUGGGGAUGACGUCAAGUCCUCAUGGCCCUUAUGGGUAGGGCUUCACACGUCAUACAAUGGUCGGUACAGAGGGUUGCCAAGCCGCGAGGUGGAGCGAAUCUCACAAAGCCGAUCGUAGUCCGGAUCGUAGUCUGCAACUCGACUACG
RNAcentral lists this ribosomal RNA (253 nucleotides) under uncultured bacterium. Its description in RNAcentral is "partial 16S ribosomal RNA". It matches the Rfam family "Bacterial small subunit ribosomal RNA", at positions 1066 to 1320 of the family's 1533-position model. The record is from RNAcentral.